AUCUGCACCCGCCACCCAUCUUCUUUCCACCGUGCCUACACCAGGAGCGCUCUGAGCCAGCAGACCACUGGGAAAAUGGGAGAAGAGGGGUCUGUAAUCUAAGAAAGGUGGUCUUUGUCACCAAUGCUGGUGUCAAGUCAUUGGGUGUCCUCCUACCUUACGUGACAGAGAGCUACAACUGACACGAAUUCUCCUAAAAGCAAAAGCAAGUGGGUGUUACUGUCACUUACUGGUUAAAAAUCUCACAGUGGAGGGAACUCCUUUGUUCUUUUCAUGCUCUUCCCCUUAGAGAACAAAGCUGGGGCCCCCUGUAUCUAACCAGCCUCUCCGUUCAUGGCCUUCAGUCUACUCAUGAUUUGCAAAGAGAAAAAGAAAAGACAGCACCAAACCAGACUAAACAAACAAACAACAAAGACACCAACCAACACCGCAGCCCCCGGGCUCUCUCUCUGGUCCCGUCAACAUUUACGACAAUUUACUUCGGAAAAAAGAGCCACUGUGGAGACUCAGCUCUACCUUGUGCUCCAGGCUGGAGUCUUUAAACAUCAGUGAGAAUGGCUUGAUAUGCUCUCUUCUCAAUUUAUCGCCACUCCGCAAGUCGAUGCCAAGGAAUGGUCAAUGAGACCUUACUGCAGGAGAGGUCUCCGUGGUAUCGCCGUGGGAAGAGGUUUAAGUUAUUUUCGUAAGCUCGUAGCUUCUGCUCCAAGAAAUGAAAUAACAAGGGGCAGAACUCUGCUGAAAAAACAGUCCAGAUGUUUCCAGCCGGCCUGUGUGGGAUUCCAGCAACCGUCUGUAACCUGGUUCCCAAACUUCAAUCGAGCACACGAGCCCUGGAACUUCACGGAAAAGAAGCGUGAUUAGUCAAAGUUAAUGGACCAAAUUGCCUACUUAAUCCACUCAACGCUCCCUGAAGGCUUCAAAUCCACUUGCCUGUCUGAACAGAGUGAAAAACCAGACCCCUUUAAUGACUCUCCCGGGCUGAACUCAGCGGCUGUCUUCCAAGUCAGGGCUAAGGGCUGCCUGGGGAGAUGUGUUGUGGGAAAAAGCCCUGUUACCAGAAGAACGCAGGUGCACUGGGGGGAAACGGACCGAGCCCUCCGUGUUCUCUAUCCAAAAAGCCUGCAGCUGUCCCAUCCAGUGAACAUCAAAACUUAAUCUGAUGUCAAAAUGGUUAAAAAUAAAUUACGGAUGGAGAAAAAUUCACCUGUGAUUUCCUGCAUACAAGAUUGAAUACGGACGAUUAGAUUUUCAGCAGCCUACCCCAGAAGCAGUAAGGUCUGAGAAUACACCGUCUUCUUUCUCUUCAAAACCAAGGCCCAAGAUUUUGGGCAUGUUUAGGAGGAGGAGUUUCAGG
This is a long non-coding RNA of Acinonyx jubatus (cheetah), 1354 nucleotides long. RefSeq lists it as uncharacterized. The record is from RefSeq and is a predicted model, not a curated record. The transcript has 3 exons. Lineage: Eukaryota; Metazoa; Chordata; Mammalia; Carnivora; Felidae.